RNAcentral lists this ribosomal RNA (208 nucleotides) under uncultured bacterium. Its description in RNAcentral is "partial 16S ribosomal RNA". It matches the Rfam family "Bacterial small subunit ribosomal RNA", at positions 568 to 774 of the family's 1533-position model. The record is from RNAcentral.
CGCGUAGGCGGCCUUUUAAGUCGGAUGUGAAAGCCCGGGGCCCUAACCCCGGAAGUGCAUUCGAUACUGAGAGGCUUGAGUAUGGGAGAGGGAAGUGGAAUUCCUGGUGUAGAGGUGAAAUUCGUAGAUAUCAGGAGGAACACCUGUGGCGAAGGCGACUUCCUGGACCAAUACUGACGCUGAGGCGCGAAGGCGUGGGGAGCAAACA